UUGUGGGGAGCUCUGCAGGCUGGAUGACAUGGUUCCACAGGUCAGAUCUGGCCUGUGGGGUAGGGGUUGAGCAGCCCUGGCUUCAAGUACAAG
Gavialis gangeticus (Gharial) is the source of this 93-nucleotide long non-coding RNA. RefSeq lists it as uncharacterized. NCBI's taxonomy places the organism in Eukaryota, Metazoa, Chordata, Crocodylia, Gavialidae. The record is from RefSeq and is a predicted model, not a curated record. The transcript has 3 exons.